UGGGGAAUUUUGGACAAUGGGCGAAAGCCUGAUCCAGCAAUGCCGCGUGUGUGAAGAAGGCCUUCGGGUUGUAAAGCACUUUUGUCCGGAAAGAAAUCCUUGGCUCUAAUACAGUCGGGGGAUGACGGUACCGGAAGAAUAAGCACCGGCUAACUACGUGCCAGCAGCCGCGGUAAUACGUAGGGUGCAAGCGUUAAUCGGAAUUACUGGGCGUAAAGCGUGCGCAGGCGGUUUGCUAAGACCGAUGUGAAAUCCCCGGGCUCAACCUGGGAACUGCAUUGGUGACUGGCAGGCUAGAGUAUGGCAGAGGGGGGUAGAAUUCCACGUGUAGCAGUGAAAUGCGUAGAGAUGUGGAGGAAUACCGAUGGCGAAGGCAGCCCCCUGGGCCAAUACUGACGCUCAUGCACGAAAGCGUGGGGAGCAAAACAGGAUUAGAUACCCUGGUAGUCCACGCCCUAAAACGAUGUCAACUAGUUGUUGGGGAUUCAUUUCCUUAGUAACGUAGCUAACGCGUGAAGUUGACCGCCUGGGGAGUACGGUCGCAAGAUUAAAACUUAAAUGAAUUG
RNAcentral lists this ribosomal RNA (566 nucleotides) under uncultured bacterium. Its description in RNAcentral is "partial 16S ribosomal RNA". It matches the Rfam family "Bacterial small subunit ribosomal RNA", at positions 355 to 912 of the family's 1533-position model. The record is from RNAcentral.